This 253-nucleotide ribosomal RNA is filed under the name uncultured bacterium. Its description in RNAcentral is "partial 16S ribosomal RNA". It matches the Rfam family "Bacterial small subunit ribosomal RNA", at positions 524 to 776 of the family's 1533-position model. The record is from RNAcentral.
UACGUAGGGUGCGAGCGUUAAUCGGAAUUACUGGGCGUAAAGCGUGCGUAGGCGGCUAUGUAAGACAGAUGUGAAAUCCCUGGGCUUAACCUAGGAACUGCAUUUGUGACUGCAUUGCUGGAGUGUGGUAGAGGGAGAUGGAAUUCCGCAUGUAGCAGUGAAAUGCGUAGAUAUGCGGAGGAACACCAAUGGCGAAGGCAAUCUCCUGGACCUGCACUGACGCUCAUGCACGAAAGCGUGGGGAGCAAACAGG